This 1364-nucleotide ribosomal RNA is filed under the name Bombus breviceps. RNAcentral's name for it is "16S ribosomal RNA". The record is from RNAcentral. Lineage: Eukaryota; Metazoa; Arthropoda; Insecta; Hymenoptera; Apidae.
UUUGAUAUAAUAAAUAUAAUAAUUUAGUUAGUUAUUUAAUUUAAAAUAUAUAGUUAUGCAAAAUUUUGUAUUAAAUUUGUGUUUUAGUAAAAUUUAUGAAUUAAUAAUUUUAUUUAUAGAUAGAAGUAAUGUGAAUGAAUUUUAUAAAAAUUGAAAAAGUAAAAUAUAUUUUGUACCUUUUGUAUCAGGGUUAAUUAAUAUAAUUUAAUAAAAUUAAUAUUCUCGAAAGAAAAAGAGUUAAAUAUAUAAUUAUAUUAUUGUGGAAGAAAUAAUUAUAAUAUAUAUUUAGAGAUUAGAUGUUAAUCGAUUUUUUUUAUAUCUAGUUUUUUUUGAAAUAAAUUUAAUUUAUAUAUAAAAAGUAUAUAAAAUUUAUUUUGAAAUUUUAUAUAUUUUUAUAUAAAAAAUUUAUGGGAUAAUCUAUAAAUUUAAAUAUAUUAUUUAUUGAGAAAAUUAAUAAUUUAAUUGAUUUAGAAAUAAUCUUUUUUAAUAAGUAUUUAAUAAUUUAAUGUAUUUUAUGUUAAAGAUUUUAUGUAUAUAUGAUAUUAAUAUAUAUAUAUAUAUAUAUAUUUGUUAAAAAAAAAUAAUUUUUAAUAAGUGUAAAUUAAAUAUAAUGAUUAUAUAAGUAAUAAAGAAUUUUAUGAUUUAAAAUUGUUUUGUAUAUAGUAUAAUUUGAUAUAAAUAUAUAUAUAUAAGGAAUUAGGCAAAUUAAAUAUAUUCACCUGUUUAUCAAAAACAUGGCUUAAUGAUGAUAAUUUUAGGUCGAUCUGCCCAAUGAGAUAGUUAAAUGGCUGCAGUAUAACUGACUGUACAAAGGUAGCAUAAUCAAUUGUUUUUUAAUUGGAAACUGGAAUGAAAGAAUUAAUGAGAUAUAUACUGUCUCAUAUAUAUUUAAUAAAAUUAAAUUUUUAGUAAAAAUGCUAAAAUUAAUUUAUGGGACGAUAAGACCCUAUAGAAUUUUAUAUUAAUAUUUAGAUUUAAUUUAAUUUUAGGUAUUAAUAUUUAAUUGGGAGGAUUGGUAAAUUUAAUAAACUUUAUUUUAAAAUUUAACUUUGAUUAAAGGAAUUAUAAAUGAUCUUGUAUUAUAAAUUAUAAGAAUAAAUUACCUUAGGGAUAACAGCGUAAUAUCUUUUUAAAGAUCGUAUUGAUAAAGAUGAUUGCGACCUCGAUGUUGAAUUAAGAUAAAUUUUAAAUGUAGAAGUUUAAUGAUUAAGUCUGUUCGACUUUUAAAAUCUUACAUGAUUUGAGUUCAAAUCGACGUGAGUCAGAUUGGUUUCUAUCUAUGAAAUUAAAAUAAAUUAUUUGUACGAAAGGACUAUAAUUUAUAAUUAUAUUAUGUAAAAUUAUAAUAAAUAAAUUAUAAAAAA